RNAcentral lists this ribosomal RNA (267 nucleotides) under uncultured bacterium. RNAcentral's name for it is "partial small subunit ribosomal RNA". It matches the Rfam family "Bacterial small subunit ribosomal RNA", at positions 26 to 291 of the family's 1533-position model. The record is from RNAcentral.
AGAGCGAACGCUGGCGGCGUGCUUAACACAUGCAAGUCGAGUGCGCGCCUGUAGCAAUACAGGUGGCGCACGGCGCACGGGUGCGUAACACGUGGGUAAUCUGCCCUUCGAUGGGGAAUAACUCCGGGAAACCGAAGCUAAUUCCGCAUAACAUUCCUUGGACCUCGGUCUGGGGAUUCAAAGCCGUAAGGCGUCGGAGGAGGAACCCGCGCACGAUUAGUUAGUUGGCAGGGUAACGGCCUACCAAGACUUUGAUCGUUAGCUGGU